RNAcentral lists this long non-coding RNA (953 nucleotides) under Rhinopithecus bieti (black snub-nosed monkey). RNAcentral's name for it is "lncRNA (ENSRBIG00000046639.1)". Lineage: Eukaryota; Metazoa; Chordata; Mammalia; Primates; Cercopithecidae. The record is from RNAcentral.
AUGACGAGAGACACUCUCUGGUGGGAACGUCUCCUAGAAACAAGGCCUAAGACGGGGCGACAACAGCCCCACAGCUGUGUCCAGAUGCAGGAAGCACUGGCCCGUGCUGGAAAUAUUGGUGCACUGGCAGCCAGAAUGUUCCCCAGAGUCACACAGGGCCAGGCCUCCAAUGCAGCAUUGGCUCGGUGGCUGAUCCGUUCUUCCGCGCACUGGGAGGCAUGGACACCCCCAGAAGCCUUCUCUCCUCCCUCCCAAGUGACGCGGUCAGUGCAUUUGCAGGUGUGGAAUAUCCUGCUCCAAUCCUCAGCCCUGGGCCUGGCCAUGUCACCUACUUUGUCUAGUGAAACGUCGGUGGACAGGCGCUGCCCGGGCUCCAGGGAGCUCCUCCCUGAGGCUCAUUCCCUAUGCCUCUGCCAUCAGCACGGAAGGACCUGCCCAGCUGCCUCCGGGGUCAGGGAGGACACGCGGUGCGGGAGAGAGCUGGCCCCACUGCAGCUGCGGGCGCUGUUCAUCUGAGUGGCGCUAGGUCAGCUGACACCCGUCGGACCCUCAGAACCCCAAGCCAGCCCUGCUGAGAUCUGAGCCACCGCGGCCAAACUGCAGUCACCUGGAAAGGAAGCCCCGCAUUCCACCCCUGGGAUGUGCGGCCCUUUGCUCUGCAGCAGGUGCUGAUGUUGCGCCUCCAGCUGCUCCCCCGCUCCCUGGUUUUGGAAGCUUCCCCUUUCCUGGGCCUCACGGUGCUAAGAUCCACCACGAGCCAUCACUGUGGUUGUUUCUCAAGUCCAGAGAAGAGAGUUUGCUGUGAAGUGAAAACCUUCCUUGUAACACUGACCAGAGGCUCCGUGUGCAUUUGGCUGCCAGCCAUGAGGCAGGCUCUGAGCUUCCCCUGGGGUGUGGGUUCUCCAUUUUCAGUGGAUUUGGCAGGGGCUUUCCUGGGUGCAUUUGCCCCCUGG